This 228-nucleotide ribosomal RNA is filed under the name Neogloboquadrina pachyderma. RNAcentral's name for it is "partial small subunit ribosomal RNA". Lineage: Eukaryota; Foraminifera; Rotaliida; Globorotaliidae. The record is from RNAcentral.
CCGCUUAACAUCGAGUGUUAAAUAUGCUAGUCCUUUCAUGAUUAUGUGAUAGGUGGUGCAUGGCCGUUCUUAGUUCGUGGAGUGAUCUGUCUGCUUAAUUGCGUUUCACUAAGGGCCCAUAAAUUCAAGGUAUGUUAGCUCUCGUCGCUCUAUGGACCCCUUAACUCCAAUAUUCUUAUUGUGUUAAGCGCGUGUCUUUAUUUUAAGAGUUUUAAGACACUGCGCAUG